This 248-nucleotide long non-coding RNA is filed under the name Microcebus murinus (gray mouse lemur). RNAcentral describes it as "lncRNA (ENSMICG00000048601.1)". The record is from RNAcentral. Lineage: Eukaryota; Metazoa; Chordata; Mammalia; Primates; Cheirogaleidae.
AUGAGUGGCUGCAGAAUUUUAAGCCUAAAGGUUCCAAACAGCAUUGUCUGUGCACCAAAUCCAAGGAAGACUCUCAUGAAAAGUCCUCUUGAAAUUUUGAACUUCCUAAUUCAGUGUCUGUUGCUCAAUCCCAGAGAAGGGUGUCAAGAAGACUGAGAGAGCAUCCAAACCGAUGGAGGUUUUGAAAUGGCCAAGGAAACAGAACAUUUUACAAAAGUCUCAUUGCACUGAAAGUGUCCCAGACUAUU